Molecule: ribosomal RNA, 1065 nt
Filed under: Triticum aestivum (bread wheat)
Lineage: Eukaryota; Viridiplantae; Streptophyta; Magnoliopsida; Poales; Poaceae
Description: partial small subunit ribosomal RNA
Source: RNAcentral
AUGAAUCGUAAAACCCGCUUCAUUUCAUGGAAUGUCCGGGGUCUUGGUAGGGCAAAGAAAUGUUCUGAUGUAAAAUCGGCUCUCUUAGAUAUUGGUCCCUCCUUUAUUUGCCUUCAAGAAACUAAACUUGAAGAUAUCUCCCCCUUCAAAGCUAGCUCGUUUCUCCCUACCAACAUGCAAUCUUUCCACUUCCUUCCCUCCACCGGCUCGGCUGGCGGGAUUCUAACCGCAUGGGAUGAUCAGCACUUCGCUUGCUCUGCGGUUACACAUCUUUCAUUCUCUUUAACCCUGCACUUUUCUGCCAGAGCAAAUCUCGACACCUCCAUUUCAAAUGUAUACGGUCCUUGCGGUAGCAAUGAUAAGCAAGCCUUUGCUACGGAGCUUCUCCAUCUUGGCUCUUUAAUAUCAGGUCUGUGGGCUCUCAUCGGGGACUUCAAUUUCACUCUAAAAGCUUCGGAGCGCUCCAAUGCAAACUUCAACGUAGCUGAAGCUCAACUCUUCUCCUCCUCCCUGAAUCAUCUAAAGCUUCAAGAGAUUCCUCUUCUACACAGAUUAUUUACUUGGUCAAAUCAGCAACAAUCGCCAAUCCUAGUCCGUUUGGACAGGGUUUUCGUCAAUAUCUACUGGAGCUUCCUGCUCCCGGACUCCUCUCUCACCUCAGCCUGCCGCUCGACCUCAGACCACGUGCCUCUCGUUUUAACGGCCCCCUCAAGAGUCCCCAUUCCCUUGGUUUUUCGGUUCAACAACGGCCUCUUGCGAUCCUCUCCCUUCAAAAACCUGAUCGCACAAAACUGGAACAGCGUUCAACCCUCAUCUCACCUUGGACACUUCUGUCUUAAACUUAAACGCGUCCGCGCGGCUGCUAAGUCUUGGGCUAAACACGCUAGGCCCUCUUUAGAUAUUUCCAAAAACUGCAAAACUGUCAUCACCUUCCUGGAUAAAAUUGAGGAACUUCGUCUUCUCUCUUCUCUCAAGCUCGCCCUUCGAACCCAAGUCUCUCUCUCUCUCUCUUCAUCGUCACAAUGCUCUCACUGCUCUUUACUAGCGUCAGCGUGCAAAAAUUAA